RNAcentral lists this ribosomal RNA (265 nucleotides) under uncultured bacterium. RNAcentral describes it as "partial 16S ribosomal RNA". It matches the Rfam family "Bacterial small subunit ribosomal RNA", at positions 793 to 1055 of the family's 1533-position model. The record is from RNAcentral.
GUCCACGCUGUAAACGAUGGGCACUAGGUGUCGCGGGUAUUGACCCCUGCGGUGCCGCAGCUAACGCAUUAAGUGCCCCGCCUGGGGACUACGGCCGCAAGGUUAAAACUCAAAGGAAUUGACGGGGGCCCGCACAAGCGGUGGAGCAUGUGGUUCAAUUCGACGCAACGCGAAGAACCUUACCCGGACUAGACAACAGAGGACAAUUCUAGAAAUAGAAUCUUCCCUUCGGGGACCUCUGGUUCAGGUGCUGCAUGGCUGUCGU